GUGGGGAAUAUUGGACAAUGGGCGAAAGCCUGAUCCAGCCAUGCCGCGUGUGUGAAGAAGGUCUUCGGAUUGUAAAGCACUUUAAGUUGGGAGGAAGGGCAGUAAGUUAAUACCUUGCUGUUUUGACGUUACCGACAGAAUAAGCACCGGCUAACUUCGUGCCAGCAGCCGCGGUAAUACGAAGGGUGCAAGCGUUAAUCGGAAUUACUGGGCGUAAAGCGCGCGUAGGUGGUUUUGUAAGUUGGAGGUGAGAUCCCCGGGCUCAACCAGGGAACUGCCUCCAAAACUGCAUGACUAGAGUACGGUAGAGGGUAGUGGAAUUUCCUGUGUAGCGGUGAAAUGCGUAGAUAUAGGAAGGAACACCAGUGGCGAAGGCGACUACCUGGACUGAUACUGACACUGAGGUGCGAAAGCGUGGGGAGCAAACAGGAUUAGAUACCCGUGUAGUCC
RNAcentral lists this ribosomal RNA (450 nucleotides) under uncultured bacterium. RNAcentral describes it as "partial 16S ribosomal RNA". It matches the Rfam family "Bacterial small subunit ribosomal RNA", at positions 354 to 796 of the family's 1533-position model. The record is from RNAcentral.